UGUUAAAAAUUUCACUCAUUUCUACUAUUAAAAACUAGUAUGACUGACAGAAUAAUCAGAGAAGUAAUGCUGACAUACAAAUACCAAUUUUUAAUAGUAAAAAUGAAUGAAAUUUUUAAUA
Gossypium hirsutum (cotton) is the source of this 121-nucleotide non-coding RNA. Lineage: Eukaryota; Viridiplantae; Streptophyta; Magnoliopsida; Malvales; Malvaceae. The record is from Rfam.